Molecule: long non-coding RNA, 417 nt
Organism: Meriones unguiculatus (Mongolian gerbil)
Lineage: Eukaryota; Metazoa; Chordata; Mammalia; Rodentia; Muridae
Exons: 3
Source: RefSeq, a predicted model, not a curated record
GACCACGUGUGUGAGGGCAUGCAGGCAUGUUUGCAAGCUUGUAGUCUGCACACAGCACACGGGUGCCUGUGUGGGGUCGUGAAUACGUGUGGGAGCGUGUGAGCAUCCCUGCCUGCUCUGGGCACCUGCAGGGAGUCUGUGUUUACAGGACCUGACCUCACAGCCCAUGCAGCAGGGCCCCGGACCUAACAGAGCCCAUGUCCCUGUUGUUAAGCAUUGCUGUCCCUGGCCGGGCAUCUUCCUCUACAGGCCUGGCCUGUGCGUUUCCGGUCCGAUGCUGGUUUGUGGCUGUGAAGCAACCGGCACAUAACUUCUGGGGAUGAGAGGUGUGUCCCUGCUGGCGGGUAGACAUGAUGCUGACCUUGUGUGCUGCAGUGCCACUUUUUACACAUAAAAUAAAAUUGUUUCCUGAAGGCA